CUAAGAAUCUUCCGCAAUGGGCGAAAGCCUGACGGAGCGAUGCCGCGUGAUCGAUGAAGGUCGAGAGAUUGUAAAGAUCUUUUCCAACCGAGGAAUAAGUGGACCAGGGAAUGGGUUCAUGAUGACGUUAAGUUGGGAAUAAGCCCCGGCUAAUUACGUGCCAGCAGCCGCGGUAACACGUAAGGGGCGAGCGUUGUUCGGAAUUAUUGGGCGUAAAGGGCACGCAGGCGGUUUUACAAGUCCGAUGUUAAAGACCUGGGCUUAACUCAGGGAAUGCGUUGGAAACUGUAAGACUAGAAUCUUGGAGGGGGAGUCGGAAUUCCUAGUGUAGGGGUGAAAUCUGUUGAUAUUAGGAAGAACACCGGUGGCGAAGGCGGACUCCUGGCCGAAGAUUGACGCU
Molecule: ribosomal RNA, 400 nt
Filed under: uncultured bacterium
Lineage: Bacteria
Description: bacterial SSU rRNA
Rfam family: Bacterial small subunit ribosomal RNA
Source: RNAcentral